CAGUCGCGUGCUGGAGGUUGCUAGGUUACCUGUAUGGCGAGCAGGCCUUCACCGGCUGAGGCCGCUUUUGCCUUUUCAUACACCUGCAGCCAGGGCAGGAGAAAGAUCGAAGUGGGUGCUCCUCAGUCAUCUUAAUCGAGACACAAAAUAACCUUCCUGCAAUACGAGGUAAGCGCGUGAAGAAGACAGUCUGGCGAUGCGGCACUGUCCUCGGCGAUUCAGGAGCUGGAAGGGCAGACCUUAAGCUCGCUGGAAACCGCUUCCUGUUGGAGCCUUGAUCAAGCAUCAUGUCUGAUGAAGAUAUUGUCACUACUUUAGCCUGUAUCAAGAGCCCAAUGUUCUCCAAAAGAACCACUUUUCAGGUAAAAUAAUUUUUACUUCUCUGUAUCCUGUUAUUAGAAAUUUGAGUUCUUCAAAGUAUUUGAAAGAGGUGCUUUCAUAAAACUCGUUAGCUUUACAGAAGUACUAUCAAUUCUAACCAACAUUCUCUUGAAGGCUCAUAUACUGUAACUGUCAAUGAUGGUCCCUCUGUCUGCACACAAACAAUGCAGGUACUUUAAUACCUAGAAGAGGGACACUUUAUUAAUGUUCACAGUUUGCAAAACACUUCUUUAAACUGAUCAGAAAUAUUAAUACAGUUAAUCCCCGAGUUACGAGUGUUCACUUAACGCUCCUUCAAAAUUACAUGAUGAACACCCCCUAGUGCUUACGAGCAAGUUCUGAAGUUACGAAUAUUGCAGCACCACGGCAGUUGUUUGCCCUUACGAGCGAUUUCCGUGGCACUGCAACUUUCACCCUAUUCUCCCCACUCCUCACAACUGCUUCCCCCUCCCUUCCUGCCACGCCGGAUUCACUUACCUUACAAAAAUUCUUUCUGCUGCUGUUUCUUUCCCUUUGAGGGAGAGCAGAAUUGGCUUGGAAAUGUUUUUCACACCGAGAAUGGAAGUUUCCGGAAUCUGUGAUCUCACGUGAGUGUUUGAAGUUGUGCUAAAUCACGGACUUCAGAAACUUUCAUUCUCUAUGUGAAAGGUGCCUAUCUCCUGCUCCUGCCCCCAAUUCCUUUCUGCCUGACAGCAAGACUGAAACCUUCAACUGAGGAAGAAGGCCAGCCCCCUCUCACCUGCGUCCAGCCCACGGGAGAUCGCCACGCUGGGGGAGAAAGUGACCCCAUUGUCCGUGCAGCCUUCCUCCAAGCGGACCAGAACAGAGGCUGGGGGAGGCUUCUGCAUGCCUCCAGAGAUUGAAUCCAGCCCUCGGAGGACUGCUCCAAGCUGCUGCCACCCAAAAUGAAACUUCCAAGGGCCUGAUCCAAGCCUUGGAGGGAUUUUCCUAGCUGUUUGUGCCAGGAAUGGAGAUUGGGGGGGGACUUCUUCAUGCCUCUAGAGGUUGGAUCCAGCCCUUGGAGGAUUGCUCCAAACUGCUGCUGCCCGGAAUGGAGCUUUCAAGGGCCUGAUCCAAGCCUUGGAGGCGGUUCCUAGCCCUUUGCACCAAGAACGGAGGUUGGGGGAGCUUUCCAGGUUGCUGCCACCCAGAUCUAGGGCUGGGGGAUGCUUCCACAGCCCAAUUGGACUGCAGGGGGCUGCGGAAGUGUUCCCUGGCCUUAAAUCUGGGUGGCAGAGGCCUGGAAAAGGUCUCAGGAACUCGGAUCGAGCCACGGGAGGGGGGCGCAGAAGCGUUCCCCUUCCUCAAAUCUGGGGGGCAGCAGGAACCGCAACAGAGAGGAGAUGGAUCUUUUCCAGGUGAGUCCCACAUGGCAGGAAGGGAGGGGGAAGCAUGUGGUAUCUUAGUGAGUUGGAGAGGCCUUGGGGGCCUGUUCUAGCACUAGGCCCUCCAUGGCCUUCCUCACCCUGAGAUAACUCAGGUUCGCUUAAUGAGCCGCGUGCGUUUUAACGAGCAAGGGAGUGAUCUCAUACCUCAAACGAGUUUCAUUCUACGAGUUUUCAAGUUAUUAGUGGAAUUGGCAGGCUCCAUUAUGCUCAUAACUUGAGGACUACCUGUUCUUUUUUUUGUCUUCUAAAUUUUGAAUAAAAUGUGCAUGUAUUUAAUAUUUCUGAAAGCUGGAAACACUGGACAAAGGAAUACAUGUAACUCUAAUUAAAAAACUGGAAUAGCAAAUAUAUGCCUAGUAAUGUAAAGAUCUUUUUUUGAAUAAGGACCUCAUUGUUUAAAUGAUGAGGAAAACUGUUUUAUAUUUACAUACAUAUAUUAUGUCUUGCUUUAUCAUUUUUGAUAAAGGGAUCUUACUGAUUUUGAAAUAUUUGAGAAAGAACUAAUUAAGUAUCUGAUAAUAAAACCAUUGUAAUCUUCAAAAAGAAAAUUACAUUUACAGUAGCUGUGCAAAAAGUGGGCCAACUGUUGAAAAAAACUAUUCAGGUUUUCCUUAGCAAUGGUACACUAGUCAGCACCUUGUAUUUUUUAAAAUACUAAUGGUUACAUAGAGUUUCAUCAUGCCUGAAAUAUGUAAGUGCCAAACUUCUCUGAAGUAUAUUUGGAUUGAUAAUUAUGAGUUAUCAAGACAUUGUUGACUCUCAGCAACCAUAUAGAUUUUCUCCAUGACAAUCUGUCUCUAGCUUAAUCUUUCAUCUUUCAAUGAAAUAGUGCACUCAUAUCCAGUGGUUCACUCAUCAUCAGCAUAACUGCGUCUAUUCAUCUUUCUGCCCUUCUUCCUUCUUCUCAUCCCUUGCACCUUUUCCAGCACUGGAGCCUUUUUCAGAGAGCUAGGUAUUUGCAUAAUGUGUUCAAAGUAGGAUAAUUUGAUUUUGGUUAUUUGUGCCCAAACUGAAAAUUCUUGACCUGUUCAGUGAUCCAUUAGUUUUUUUUUUCUUGGUUGUCCACAGUAUUCUCAACAGUAUCAUGUUCUUCCUAUCCUGCUUCCUCAAAGUCCAACUUCACUUCCAUAUAGUGUCACUGGGAAUACUAUGGCUUGCACAAUUCUCAUCUUUUUAAGGCCUUCGUGACUGCUUGCUGGUCUGCAUCAUAUUUUGACUGUUUAUCUCUUUACUGAUGAUGGUUGAUCAUUUUGAUCAUCAUGCCAUUUUGAUAUCUUCAUUAUCAAUUCUAAGGCUAGUGGUUGCAUUUUAUAAAAAUGUUAUUAUUUUGGUCAUCUUUAUAUUUAAUUUUAACCCCAUUUUUUUCCUGGGUUCCUUGACUUUUAUUACUAGAACUUGUAGCUCCUUGUGUUUUCAUCAGCAUAGCCCAAGUUAUUGCUGUUUCUUCCUCCAGUUUUGAAGCCAUGCUCCUUUUCAACCAAUACAGGUUUCCUUAACAAUAUUCACUAUUACGUUGAAUAAAUAAUGGAAGACUAUACAGCUUUGUCACACUCCUUUGUCAAUCUGGAGCACAAUUCUGUUCAUGCUGUACUUUUGUGACCAGUCUAUAAGUUUCUCAUGAGGACAAUUGGAUUUUCUGGGAUUCCCAUUUUUCUAAACGCAUUCUACAGCUUGACAUGAUCCGCACAACCAACGACCUUUCUGUAAUUAAUGGAGUAUAUACUGACUUCUUUUUGGUAUUCUUCAGCUUUCUCAGUUAUCUAUCUGGAUCAAAAUAAUGCUUUGUGUUUCUCAGGCUUUUCUAAAGUCAGCCUGAACAUCCAGCAUUUAUUUACUCUAUUUUCAUAAUUGAUAUUGAAUGCUUCUGAGCAUGAUUUAUGUUAUCAUAUGAGAUUCAGGAUACUGUGUUAUAGUUUGUAUGCUUUUGUUAACUCUCUUUUUUCUGGUAUUGGAAUAUAGAUUGAUAUCAGGCCUGCCAUCUUCAGAAUAUUUCACUUCACUGGCAUUCUGUCAUAAAUUGCAAGGGAGGGGGAAAAGCAAUUGGAGAAAUAAGGCAUGAGCAUGGGAAUGGGCAGUAAAAAUGGGGACAGGCUGAUAGGAACCAGAGGUGUUAAUGUGGAAUAAACCAGCUGGCCAAGGAUGGAGGAGCCUGAGAAUGGAAUGUAAAACUUUACCAAGGAGGCAGCAAACCUCAAAGCUGUUUCAAAAACAUCAAAAAUGAAUACUAUUGGACACUGAUGGACUGGUCAAGGGGAGAGGGCCAGGUAAAGGGGAAAAUUACAAGCUUUGCAUGGCAAUACUUAGAUCCAGCUUUACUUUUACGGUAACCAUUUGACUUUAGUAAAACAACCUUUCAUUUCAACAAAUGGAGCCUAGGGUUUUUCUUUCCUAAAUGUCCAAGCCAGGAAAAACUUGAUAUUUGGCCUUGUGAGAAAUUUUAUGCUAUAGUUCUAUGCAAGGUUUAGGCUUAGGUGAACCAAAUCAGGCCUCAUGGAAAAAUAUUGAACCAAAGUUUGAGCUAUCGCCUCUUUCAUAAUACGAUGGCAGCAUUUGUAAUUGGAAUUAUGAGUAAUCUUGCUAACUGGCACAUUACUAUGUGUUUAGAACACGAAACUUGAGCCUGGGAUUUGAGGAACUGAAAUGGUGGGAACCAAAGAACUGAAGAAGCCGUGGAACAGUGACAUGUGCAUGGAAAAAUAUGUUAGCUUGAAGGUGGUGUCUGAUAUAACUAUUAUUAAAAGAAUGUUAGAAGUCAUGUGUUUGUGAUUAAGGUAUAAAAGGAUGGCUCUGAGAAUAGAUUGGAGCAAUCAUGUCAAGCCGUCUCUCUGACUGCUUGCACAAUAUCUGCCCUUAUUGCAAUAAGUUAAGGUAUGUAACUUUGGUAUGUGUGUUCUAGAUUUUAAUAAACCUCCAAAUUCUAAAGCGAGAUGCUUAUGGUGUCUCUUGUCUCUGACGAGUUUUUCCCAUGACAGUUUUGGUGCAUUGGCUGGGAAAGGGCACGUUGGAAGAGACUUGGUGUCCGGUUGGAGCCUCUGACCAUCUCCAGGCUUGGACCCUAGGUAACCAGCUGCUUCUUUGCCAAUUUCCACCCACACCUCCACUUUGAAUCAGAGGUAAGAGAAACCCUGGGACCCUGGUAUCUUUAUCCUCACAUUCGGCUGCACUUCUUAAUAUGCUUUGAGGAUAAAGGAAGUUGUGUAAGUCUUGUCGUACUAUGGUGGGGCAACGAUUGUCAGAAAACAGAAGUGGCACUGGAAUCUGCCCAGCCGGGACCAAAAAGGGAACUGACAUUCCUGGGGACUGCUCACCCCCUUGUAGAGUAUUAAGGUCAUGCCUCAGGUGUCAAGGGUCAUGCCCUUGAAUUGUUUUUUGUAACCUAUUUUUUGAGGGACUUUGCUCCCUUGCUAGGCGACGCUAAGCAGAAAAAAGUGAGGGUCAUGUCAUUUUCACAAGCUUUUCUGGCUGCUGGUGAUUUACAGAUUGAGCUCUGAGAUUGCCAUUUUGAUGUUUGUACUUUGGGAUUUUAUUCAAGCUACUUGAAGUGAAGGUAUGUUCCUUUUACUUUCACUCCUAGUUUACGUGGCUUUUGGAAUGCAAUUUGCUUUUUGUGUACUGUCUGAUAUUGUGCAUUGGAUUUUCCUUGUAUGUAUGAAUGCCCCUUUGACCUGGAUAGUUAGUGCUGGCAACGUAUUAGUAUCUUGAACCUGUUAUUGAUUUUUUCCUGUAUUAAAUUUGUUUGCUUCCUGAUUUCCCUAUGUCUUUGUGUGUAGCGACACCCACUGUUACUUAAUGUUUUUUUUAAUUGUGCAUGGACAUUUUUCAAUGCAUUCUUUAACUGUGUUUCUUUAGUUGUGCCUGCCCUUUAAUUAAUGGUGAACACUGCCUUUCUCAUAGAUAAGAGUCAGUUUUUUUGCUGGGACAGUGUUGUUUGUUAACAACUAACAUUGGUGCUACCUUCCCCUUAGAUAAGGGUCAGCUUAUUUGCUGGGGUAUUGCAUUCUAUAGUUGAUUACCUGCUACCUUUCCCCUGGGGUAUGUUACUUCUCUGUUAUUGCUGUCAAUUCUACUGACAAAGAGGGAAUGGGCCUUUUCCAUAGAUAGGGACUGUCUUGUUGGCGGGUCUCCAUAUUCCUUUAUUUCCCUGGGUUAGUGUGUCUCUUGGUUGCCCAUGGGAGACUCAAGAUGCUGAGCUCUUCAGCUGAGUUUCUUCUUAUUUGGGGACCCUAAAUGGGCCAGAAGCCGCCCCAGAGAGGUGGUACUGAAGGAAGGUACUUCCAGGGACCUAGAAGAGACGGUGGUCUCUCCGAUUGGUCCAGGAGAAGCCUCCCAGAAACCAACAGAAGAAAGGCUAGCUAACUCCUAGUCUAGCCCUAGCUGUAAGCAAAUGGAAGUCAAGAAGCUCUACCUAAACUGAUCGUAAACAGUGUGUUUGAAGCUGAAUAAGAACUAAUUUUCUCUAUCCUACUUAUUUUCCUGGAAAAAAAAAAGAACUCCCAAGAAGCAAAUCUCCGAGAGUGAAAAAAGGGGAGGGAUUCUCUCCCCCCCCUUUGGCUUUUGGAAGCAGCAAAUUUAACUCUUUAAGGAGAAAAAGAAAACUGAAAAAUGACCCAACACUGACACCUGGUGGACGAGGAGCUAAAAAACUUUUUAUUUGUGGCUUUUAAAAUCUUAAAGUACAGCUGUUCAGAGAAAGUGAUAUUUACAGAAAAAAUGGAUGUUUUACAAGAGGAAAUAUAUGAUAUGCUGCAAUCCAUUCAAAGGACAAUGAUCUUAAACUAUGAAAAAAUACAAAACAAUUUAUGUAUAAGUCAACAUAUCUCUAAUUUCAGCUCACUUCAAAAAAAUCCUCAGGAGAACACAGCAGAGAUAAUGGAAUAUAAAUCAGAGGGAAAAGGCUUAAAGAUGGACUUUUACAAAAUUAAGUAUGACUUAAUUCAAGUGGAAGGAAAGACAAUUUAUACUUCAACAUCACAAAACAAAUUGGAAGACAAGAGAAGGGAUUCUAAUGGAAAAAAGAGUGCAAGUGCGCAGGACAGAGAUAUUGAUCUACAUUUACAGGAACACCUAUGAUCAUAUGGGAAAACUUUUGGAUCCAGCAAAGUAUAGUGAUCAAGAAAGAUUCGGGGCAAAGAAAAGAGAUUAAAAAAAAAGAGAUUGGGAUAUAUCAGAGAGAAUAUUUUAAAAAGAAACAUCUGUUUGAAUGUGAUUAAAGAAAUUGAAAAAUUUGAAACCCACCAUUUCAAGAGAGAUGAAAUGUUUUAGAUGCUUAAAUGUGAUUGAAUUCAAGAAAAGUACAUAUAUAUAUAUAAGUGAAUUAGAGUUAAGGGACUAGACUAGAUUUAUUGAAUAGAAUGUCUAAAGAUUAACUAUAUUCUUAACUAUGAUUAAAAAGAAUAAGAAAUUUUAAGAAAAUAAAUACAAUUAAUCUAGGAGGGAUAUAUAUUCUAAAUACUAUACUAUUUCUUAUGUUUUGUUAUUAUUGCUUUCCUCUCUUUUUCAUUUUCUUUUUUUU
Crotalus tigris (Tiger rattlesnake) is the source of this 7281-nucleotide long non-coding RNA. RefSeq lists it as uncharacterized. The transcript has 2 exons. Lineage: Eukaryota; Metazoa; Chordata; Lepidosauria; Squamata; Viperidae. The record is from RefSeq and is a predicted model, not a curated record.